UGGGGAAUAUUGGACAAUGGGGGCAACCCUGAUCCAGCAAUGCCGCGUGUGUGAAGAAGGUCUUCGGAUUGUAAAGCACUUUCGACGGGGACGAUGAUGACGGUACCCGUAGAAGAAGCCCCGGCUAACUUCGUGCCAGCAGCCGCGGUAAUACGAAGGGGGCUAGCGUUGCUCGGAAUGACUGGGCGUAAAGGGCGUGUAGGCGGUUUACACAGUCAGAUGUGAAAUCCCCGGGCUUAACCUGGGAGCUGCAUUUGAUACGUGUAGACUAGAGUGUGAGAGAGGGUUGUGGAAUUCCCAGUGUAGAGGUGAAAUUCGUAGAUAUUGGGAAGAACACCGGUGGCGAAGGCGGCAACCUGGCUCAUGACUGACGCUGAGGCGCGAAAGCGUGGGGAGCAAACAGGAUUAGAUA
This 412-nucleotide ribosomal RNA is filed under the name uncultured bacterium. RNAcentral's name for it is "partial 16S ribosomal RNA". It matches the Rfam family "Bacterial small subunit ribosomal RNA", at positions 355 to 784 of the family's 1533-position model. The record is from RNAcentral.